This 274-nucleotide ribosomal RNA is filed under the name uncultured bacterium. RNAcentral describes it as "partial 16S ribosomal RNA". It matches the Rfam family "Bacterial small subunit ribosomal RNA", at positions 523 to 796 of the family's 1533-position model. The record is from RNAcentral.
AUACGGAGGGGGUUAGCGUUGUUCGGAAUUACUGGGCGUAAAGCGCACGUAGGCGGACUGGAAAGUUGGGGGUGAAAUCCCGGGGCUCAACCCCGGAACUGCCUCCAAAACUUCCAAUCUAGAGAUCGAGAGAGGUGAGUGGAAUUCCAAGUGUAGAGGUGAAAUUCGUAGAUAUUUGGAGGAACACCAGUGGCGAAGGCGGCUCACUGGCUUGAUACUGACGCUGAGGUGCGAAAGCGUGGGGAGCAAACAGGAUUAGAAACCCGAGUAGUCC